Molecule: long non-coding RNA, 2824 nt
Organism: Caretta caretta (loggerhead turtle)
Lineage: Eukaryota; Metazoa; Chordata; Testudines; Cheloniidae
Source: RefSeq, a predicted model, not a curated record
ACAACGGUGACGUCAAAAGCCCAGUGGGGCAGGUUCGGAGUCGCCCCGCUCCCAACGCGCCCCCCAGUGGACCGGCCUGCAGGGUGGCGCGGCAGGUUGAGGUUGACCCUGGGGGCCGAGGCCGGUCCCGCCCGCUGAGCUGGUCCCGGCCGAAGUGGCGCUCGGCCCUGAGGAGCGGCGGCUUUGCGGGGCUGAAGCUAACCCCCCGAGACGUAGCGCUGCUCCCGUCAAGCUUAGGGGCUCUGUAGGAAUUUACCCUGGGCUUCAGCCUGGCUGGGUUGGGGAGUUCGGAAGGUAACUAAACCCUGGAUAGCGGAUUUUCAAAGAGUUUCCUAAAAAUCAGAGGUUGGCUGUAAUGGCGCUUCUCCAGCACCGUCCAUCCCGGGAUCUCAAAGCACUUUCCCAACAACAAUCGGGAUUAAAUCCAACCACGCCUGUGAGGUUUCUGAUGUAGAUGGGAUUCCAGAAAGGAUAUACCCUCUCUGAUCCAAAAGCCCGGACACCCAGAAGAGGGAGGCCAGACAGGUCCAGAAGCAGGUUGCUAUUGCACUGUGGAAACUUUCUACCCCAGACUACUACAGCUCUCUGAAUUUUUGAUUGUAACCUUCUCCUGGAACAUAGUCGCCAAGACCAAUGGUGCUCAGGGAAAUGAAACAAAAGUAAAAAGAUUCCAAAAAGUUCCAGUCAUCUUCCACAACAGAAAAUACUGCUGCCGGGAUAAAGAAAAAGCAUGAGACGGUAACAAACCCAAGAAUCACUGCGUGGAUGAUGGCAACAAUCUGCUUGGAGAAGCCCCAGCGAAUGUGGAAAUAUAGUACAGGCCGUCUGGUGACAUAGACUAUGAUACGCUGCACCACAGCUGUCAGGAAAAGCAGCGUAAAGGGGAUUCCGAUGACGGAGUAUAUAAUACAGAAGGCCUUUCCUCCAUCCGACAAAGGCACAGUGUGACCAUAACCUGGGGGAGGGAAAAACAAAAAAACAGAGGAAGGGUGUAUAUGAAAUGUGGAAAAUAAAUUGGAACAGGCACAUACCACCAGUGGGGAACUCAGUUGCUACAUCUGUGACUGUGUAGUAUUAUGUUAAAUACAAAGAACCUUUCACAAAACUUUGAACUCUGCUAUACUUUAAAUGUACUGCUAUCAAGGAUAAUUUUAAACUAUUGGUACAGCCAGACUAUUGGGGGUUAACAGCUACAUAUAAAGUACAAAGCAUAAGGGAAAACAUUUUUCAAAACUGCAUGUUAUUAAAACAAUGUAUAUUUUGGAGAAAGGGUGUGUUGUCUAGUAUUCAGAGCGUGAGACCAGAGAUCAAGACAUCUGGGUUCUAUUUCUGGUUCUCCUACAGACUUACUGUUUGACCUUCGGCAAGUGACCUGGACACAGAUCCUGAAAAGGUAUUUAGGCACUUUUCCAUUAAUUUUAAUGGAAGUACCUAAAUACCUUUGAGGAUCUGGGCCUUAAACUUUCUUUGCUUCAAUUUACUGAUCUGUCAAAAGGGGAUAAUACUUACCACACAAGGGUGUUUUUGGGCUUAACUGAUUGUAAAAUACUUUCAGAUCUUCAGAAGGAAGGUGUUAAAAAUGCGAAGUAUUAUUGUAAUUAGUACUUCACGUUGCAUUUUUUCCAUAGGUUGUUUCAAUGAUAAUCCCCUAAGAAUAUUUAAAAACAAAAUAAACCUCCAUAGCAAAAAUAGUAGCUUGAAGGCUGGACCUUCACCAGGUCACUGGUGUAUUGUAAGUGACAAUAGUAAUCUGUCUAAUUUAGAAUGUAGGAAUUUAUACAGUGCUGUACGGGCUGCUGAUGACAAUGUAUGCAAUUAUGCUAGUCCCAGGCUAGAAAGUGCAGCAUGCCAGACUGUUUGGUUUUAAAAGUAAACCACAAGUACAAUAAAUCCACUAAACCAGAAAUGUUUUCUUCUGUCAGCUGACAAAAUUAAUAUUUUACUGUUAUUGUAGUGGGGUAGGGGAAGUCUCCUGCAAUCUACGGAGGUUAAUCACACCAAUAGAAAGACAUGUAGUAAUAUAACUCCAAGCAAGUUGUAGCCAAUUGCUUCAUUUUAUCAUUCAUUUAUUGUGUGAAGUUAUGAUUAACUAAUAUACUGUAUUAUACAAUCACUGUAUGCUAAAUAGAGUUAAAUUGUAGUAUUAUAGAAGUAUAAGAUGAAUCAGUAUUUAGACAUGAUAAGUAUGCAUUAGGUAUCUAAGCAGGGCUGAAACACCAGGCCUACAAGCUGAGGCCUGUAUGAGUUUAGCCAUACUAGGCUAUAUGCUUAAGAAAUGCUUGACAUAAGUGAGUGACCAAAGAAUGACCCUUUGCCACAAAAUUACGAAAAAAGAUAUACCAGUGGGUAGUAUUGCAAAAAAUUAACUGUAAGAUUAAUUUUUGAUGACAAGAUACCUGGUAGUCACCUUUUUCUAACACAUGUUCUAACUGCAGGGUGCACUAUGUGCACAAAUGCUAAUGAGAACAAAAAGAUCUACACACAAGCUAUGAAAAAUGGGGUAUCCCAAUAUUCUUGGGGGACACAAUACAAAUAUGGGAAAAGAGGGUUGACUUUCAUGCACAUGUGCAGAGUAUAAGGUAUAGUCAGAAUCACAUUAUAAAAGAGGGGGCUCCCUGAUUGGGUAAAAUGAGUUCCCUAUGGGAAAACUCCAGCAGGAACCAUCCCUCUACUGAUGAUCAAUUGGCAAGGCAUCCAUCAGACCUCAAGAAUAUCAUUAAGGAUGUGAUUAUGACUAUAUUUGUAGCAUGGUUUUUUGUAGGAUUUCUAUAUGCAUGGGUAAUCAUAACCUUAACUGUAACUUUAAUAAAACUUGUAAAACAGA